GAUGAACGCUAGCUACAGGCUUAACACAUGCAAGUCGAGGGGCAGCAUUUUAGUUUGCUUGCAAACUAAAGAUGGCGACCGGCGCACGGGUGAGUAACACGUAUCCAACCUGCCGAUAACUCGGGGAUAGCCUUUCGAAAGAAAGAUUAAUAUCCGAUGGUAUAUUAAAACCGCAUGGUUCUACUAUUAAAGAAUUUCGGUUAUCGAUGGGGAUGCGUUCCAUUAGUUUGUUGGCGGGUAACGGCCCACCAAGACUACGAUGGAUAGGGGUUCUGAGAGGAAGGUCCCCCCACAUUGGAACUGAGACACGGUCCAAACUCCUACGGGAGGCAGCAGUGAGGAAUAUUGGUCAAUGGACGAGAGUCUGAACCAGCCAAGUAGCGUGAAGGAUGACUGCCCUAUGGGUUGUAAACUUCUUUUAUAUGGGAAUAAAGUAUUCCACGUGUGGAAUUUUUGAUGUACCAUAUGAAUAAGGAUCGGCUAAACUCCGUGCCAGCCGCCGCGGGUAAC
Molecule: ribosomal RNA, 510 nt
Filed under: uncultured bacterium
Lineage: Bacteria
Description: bacterial SSU rRNA
Rfam family: Bacterial small subunit ribosomal RNA
Source: RNAcentral